AUGGACGUGCAGAUGGGCGAGCCGCAGGCGGCCCCUCCUUCCGCCGCCGUAGAGGCGGCGCCGGCCCCCUCCACCCUCCACCAUCUGAAGGAGAUCGCCGCGGUGAUCGAGGCGGGGUCGCUCUCCAAGGAGGUCCGCCGGAUCUCCCGCGCCGUCCGCCUCACCGUCGCCCUGCGCCGCCGCCUCGCCGCCCGCGACGUCUCGGCCUUCCUCGCCUUCGCCCUCCCGGUCUCCAGCGACGCAUACGCCCGCCUCACUCCCCUCCUCCCCAAGGAAGAUGAAGCUGAGAUGGAUAUUGAUGCAGCAGCUCCAGCAACUCAGAUUUCUAUCAAGCAUGGCCUUCCUGAGAUUGAAAUAUAUUGUUCUUUGCUUGUUCUGAUUUUCCUCAUUGAUCAGAAGAAAUACGACGAGGCUAAAGCAUGCGCAACUGGAAGCAUUGCUCGUCUGAAGAACUUGAACAGGAGAACUGUUGAUGUUUUGGCUUCUAGACUAUACUUUUAUUAUUCAUAUGUGUAUGAACUUACAAACACCCUUGCUGAAAUUCGUGGUAAUCUCCUUGGGUUACAUAGAAUGGCAACUUUACAUCACGAUGAGCUUGGUCAGGAAACCCUGCUCAACCUGCUUCUCCGCAAUUACCUCCACUAUAACUUGUAUGACCAGGCAGAGAAACUUAGGUCGAAGGCACCACGUUUUGAAGCCCAUUCCAACCAGCAAUUCUGCCGGUACCUCUUCUACUUGGGGAAAAUCAGAACAAUUCAGUUGGAGUACACUGAUGCUAAAGAAAGCCUCCUGCAAGCUGCUAGGAAGGCACCGGCUGCAGCUCGUGGUUUUAGGAUUCAGUGCAAUAAAUGGGCUAUCAUAGUAAGGCUGCUUCUUGGGGAGAUCCCAGAGAGGACUGUUUUCAUGCAGAAAGGAAUGAAGGAAGCUUUGGCACCAUAUUUUGAGCUUACAAAUGCCGUCAGGAUUGGCGAUUUGGAACUGUUUAGAGCUGUUGCAGACAAAUUUGCAAGCACAUUCAGUGCAGACAGGACUCACAAUUUGAUCGUGAGGCUCCGCCACAACGUCAUUCGAACUGGACUACGCAACAUCAGCAUUUCAUACUCGCGGAUCUCCCUUGCUGAUAUUGCGAAGAAGCUAAGGCUAGACACUGAGAAUCCUGUUGCUGAUGCGGAGUGCAUCGUAACCAAGGCCAUAAGAGAUGGUGCAAUUGAUGCCACCAUAGACCAUGCAAAUGGCUGGAUGGUGUCGAAAGAAACUGGCGAUGUCUACUCGACAAAUGAACCCCAGGCUGCAUUCAACUCCAGAAUCGCUUUCUGCCUCAACAUGCAUAAUGAAGCGGUCAAGGCCAUGAGGUUCCCCCCGAAUUCUCAUAAGGAAAAGGAGAGCGCUGAGAAGCGCCGAGAAAGGCUCCAGCAGGAGGAAGAGCUGGCAAAGCACAUGGCCGAGGAGGAUGACGAUGAUUUUUAA
RNAcentral lists this ribosomal RNA (1467 nucleotides) under Triticum aestivum (bread wheat). Its description in RNAcentral is "partial small subunit ribosomal RNA". The record is from RNAcentral. Lineage: Eukaryota; Viridiplantae; Streptophyta; Magnoliopsida; Poales; Poaceae.